CCUACGGGAGGCAGCAGUGGGGAAUAUUGGACAAUGGGCGAAAGCCUGAUCCAGCAAUGCCGCGUGAGUGAUGAAGGCCUUAGGGUUGUAAAGCUCUUUUACCCGGGAUGAUAAUGACAGUACCGGGAGAAUAAGCCCCGGCUAACUCCGUGCCAGCAGCCGCGGUAAUACGGAGGGGGCUAGCGUUGUUCGGAAUUACUGGGCGUAAAGCGCACGUAGGCGGUUAUUCAAGUCAGAGGUGAAAGCCUGGAGCUCAACUCCAGAACUGCCUUUGAAACUAGAUAACUAGAAUCAUGGAGAGGUGAGUGGAAUUCCGAGUGUAGAGGUGAAAUUCGUAGAUAUUCGGAAGAACACCAGUGGCGAAGGCGGCUCACUGGACAUGUAUUGACGCUGAGGUGCGAAAGCGUGGGGAGCAAACAGGAUUAGAUGCCCUGGUAGUCCACGCCGUAAACGAUGAUAACCUAGUUGUCGGGGCUCUUAGAGCUUCGGUGACGCAGCUAACGCAUUAAGUUAUCCGCCUGGGGAGUACGGUCGCAAGNUUAAAACUCAAAGGAAUUGACGGCUGAGAGNGCGAGCGACACGAGGGAGAG
RNAcentral lists this ribosomal RNA (590 nucleotides) under uncultured bacterium. RNAcentral describes it as "bacterial SSU rRNA". It matches the Rfam family "Bacterial small subunit ribosomal RNA", at positions 338 to 944 of the family's 1533-position model. The record is from RNAcentral.